RNAcentral lists this non-coding RNA (87 nucleotides) under Pseudomonas poae. Lineage: Bacteria; Pseudomonadati; Pseudomonadota; Gammaproteobacteria; Pseudomonadales; Pseudomonadaceae. The record is from RNAcentral.
GUGGGAGGGGGCUUGCCCCCGAUGGCGAUGGCUCAGUCAACAUCUCUGUAUCUGAACUACCGCAAUCGGGGGCAAGCCCCCUCCCAC